RNAcentral lists this unclassified non-coding RNA (465 nucleotides) under Hevea brasiliensis (rubber tree). Lineage: Eukaryota; Viridiplantae; Streptophyta; Magnoliopsida; Malpighiales; Euphorbiaceae. The record is from RNAcentral.
GUAAGUUUGUUCCUUUGAUUUUGUGAUGAAAUUGAUUAAUUACUAAAAUCUUGUUUUCUGAGUUGACUUUUCUAUUUUAGAUUUCCUAUGAUCUAUUUUUUAUGACUUGACAUUUCUAGAUGUAAAUUUCCUAUGAUUUAGUUGUCAUGAGUUGACUUUCCUUUUUCAAUUUUUUUUUUGUUUCUUCCCUUUUUUUUUAAAUUUAAUUCAACUUUAUCACCACUGUCCACUAUUUUUUUUUCUUUUCUUUUCACACCCAUUUAUUCUUUCUUCUUUUUCUAUGUGCCUCUUUAUUCCUAUCUAUCGUCUAGGUGCUUUUUCCCCCUUGUUUUGGAUGUUUUCGUUGCUUUUUCUUAAUUUUUGAAGAAGAAAAUGCUGCCCAUUAUUCUGGCUUGUAGAAUUGAUGUUUAAUUGUUUAUUUGAGUGUAAGCAAUGUGAAGUUAAGGAAAGAAAAGAGGUUAGAUU